Long non-coding RNA from Ahaetulla prasina, 3275 nucleotides. RefSeq lists it as uncharacterized. Lineage: Eukaryota; Metazoa; Chordata; Lepidosauria; Squamata; Colubridae. The record is from RefSeq and is a predicted model, not a curated record. The transcript is spliced from 3 exons.
UCAGUAAGGUAAUGUCCAUCAAGCAUGUACUUAGUGUUUGGGUUCUUUUUUCCAAUAUGUAAAACUGAGCAUUUGCUGGUUGAGAUUUGGAGUUGCCAAGUUUUAGACCAAGCAGUUAGAUGAUCAAGGUCUUUUUGAAUGGUAGAUGUAUUGUCGGUGGUGUUAAAUAGUUUGACAUCGUCAGCAAAGAGAACACAAUUACUUGAGAUAUGGUCACAAAGAUCAUUUAUGUAUAAUAUGAAGAGUGUUGGUCCAAGAACGCUGCCUUGAGGAACGCCACUCUUGACAGGAACAGGAUUUGAUAGAGCAGUAAAAGUAGUUGUUUUUUUUUAUGUUAUAGGUCUUUUGUGGUCCAUUUCCAAAUCUACAGGAACUCUUGCCUUGCUCUGACUUCCAACUAUUUGUGUUUCUUAAACAGGAAUGUCCAGAAAUCAGGAGAUCAUGAAUUCUAGGCCUGCCUUUGACUUGAAGCCAGUGGGGUGACUUUGGGUCUCUCUGUCUUUCUCUCUCUCUCUUUCUCCCUCCCUCCCUCCCUCGGAUGCACAGAAGAGCAAACCACUUCUAAAACCUGGUCAAUGGUUACCUAUGCAGGUAACCACAAAGAAUCAAGACAAUUGCUUGGGAUUUUUUUGCAUAGGAGUACACACACACAUACGGCAUGAAAUGAGAAUAUAGAUGGAGGUAAGAACAGCAAGCAAUCUGACUUUGUUUCUCUUCUGCUUAGCAUGGAGGUGAGUUGAUUUUAAUGACUCCUGUUUGAAGUACAUAAUGGUAGAUAUGGCGGUACUGAUUUUAGACUUCUAUCGGUCCCAUGGUUGAUAAUAUCUACCUAGAGAAAAAUGCUUUGACCUGGGCCAGUUUUAUAGAGUGGUAUUCAAUCCUUUUCUGUUGAUGCCGGAAUAUUUCAAUCGGUUUGCAUUUUUAUUUUAUCACCGCUAAAUUAGCAUCGUGUCUUAAAAUAUAUUUUAAAGCAAGCAGUAAACCUAAGUGCUUUUUAACAGUUGCCUUCAAAGGCCACCACCCCAUAUCAGUGAUAAAUCCCCUUGUAGAGACAGCGAGCAAUUACAUCAUGCUCACAUUUGUUUUAGCUGUUCGAUUUUGAAAUAAAAUACCGGGUGUUAAUUGAAGUUUUUUUAUAUGUAGAGGUAGAUUUGAUCACUGUAAGUAAUAAAGUUUUGGCUCUUCUAGCCAAACAUUUAAAGCAUUAAUAUGCAGGAACGACGAUAAAUAUAAAGGAAGAAAACCUACCCUGGAUCUUUAAAUGUCACAUAAAUGGCCAUUGAUAUAUUAGCUUGUAUACUAACAAGCUCAUAACUUCCAACAUUUUUCUAAUAACGAGAAAACAUUCGCUUUUAAUUAUGUCUACUUUCUAUCCUUGGUUUGGGAACAAGCUGUUUUUCAUUGGACUCAGCGGUUAAAAUACCCGAUUAAAAACAUUCAAAAAUAUAACUAAAAAGGUAGUCCUCCACUUAUGACCAUCAUUGAGCCCAACAUUUCCCUUGCUAAGCAGGACAGUUGUUAAGUGAGUUUUACCCCAUUUUGCGACCUUGUUUCCCACAGUUAUUGUGAAUCUCUGCAGAUGUUAAUAACCCAAUUAUUAAUUGAAUCUGGCUUCCCCAUUGACUUUGCUUAUCAGAAGAUCGCAAAAGGGUUAGGGAAUACGGCAACUGUCAUAAAUAUGAAUCAGUUGCCAAACAUCUGAGUUUUGAUCAUACGACCCAACGGUUGUGUAGAAAGUUAGCACCCACCCCUCUCCUAGAAGAAUAAAAUAUUCUAGGAAAUAUUAAAAGGCAGAAUAUUUCCCCUAAAAGAGAAAUAAAAAUCUUAAAGGAAACAGAAACUCAGCCUCAGCUCCCUGCCCCCAGCAAAUAUUUUGCUGCCAGCCUAUCUACAAGACAAAAGACUGGGCCAGCCUAUCUACAAGACAAAAGACCUUCACCCUCAGGACAUAAUAGGAUUAGCUCUCUACCCAUCUAGCAGCAGAGCUCACCACAUGGCACCCAGGGAGUGGUUCAACCAAACGUAAUUCAAACAAACAUGACUCCACAUGGGAGUCUGACAACAACCAAUAGAAUAUAUUUCUUGCACAGGAACAGGAAACUCAAGGGCAAGGCCCAAGAGAGGGUAUAAAUACCUCUCUAUCUCAAACCCAUGUGUUCAGCUGCACCAGGACUUGAAACCCAUGUCCUGUCCAUCAAUAAACCAUCUUUCCAAUCAACCGCCAUGUUUCCAGUGUCUUUCUCCCCACUUGGAACUGAACCCAGAUGGACAUUUCUUCCAACAGUUAAGAAUGACUCGGCUAUCAAACCCAGGUCCCCGGAGGGAAACCUUGUACCCAGAAUUUAUGCAGCUGACAGAAAUACUCAUCGCUGUAUAGCAAUCCGGAGAAAAAGACUAAGAGGUUUUCUCUUUUCACCUGACUUCUGGCUGCUCACCUUCUUUUGUCUCUAAAGAGAAGAAAAUUUAGUGGUGGCCUCUAGUGGAAGAGGACAUUUUUAUUUUCUGAAUUUUCCCUAUGUCAAAACCAGGGGUAGUAUUCACUUACUUUCCCUACUGAUUUGUAAAGGAGUCUACCAAAGUACACAGAAGGUCUUGUCCUGUGACUUUUGCGCACCAAAGCAAUGCGAACUAGCACCCUUGGAGUAUCUGAGUAGCUUUGUGAGACAACCACUCCCUGGAAUUCAAGACACACGGAGUAGAGAAACUCUUCCAUUCCUCUUUAUUAACUUUGUCUGUGCUGCUUUAGAACUCACUUAUCACUGCCCGGCAUCAACUUGGAUUGCUACGCCAUAAUACAAUUUAUUCUCUUGGCGACUGCAUUUCUCUCGGAAAAGUCCAGGAAUGAAGGAACACGGAACUCUAUUAAGUUGCAUCAGAAGCACUAAGCGUCACGAAGAAACAAGGUCAGGGUGAAAUAAAACCGUUUUCUUAGGGACUGAUAACAGCAGAGCCAAAGCGAUCUGGUGAUUAAUCCUGACAACUUGCACUGGAAGACACCAGAAAUCCAACCUUGGCUCUUUUGCUGAUACAUUAGUGACGGUGAUAGGUUUUAAAUGGCAUCUACAGUAUACAGUAUAUUCAAGUCUUAUUGGGACACUUUGCUUCAGGGAAGCCUUGCCAUCGUUGCCCUCCAGAGGUGUGAGUCACAUAUAGAGAGUCACAUAUAGUAGCAACCAGUUCACCCAGCACUGGAAACAUGAGCAUGUGCACGCAUGCAUGCACAAAACACGGCAAUUCAUUCACACGCACCAUCUGCAUAUGCGUCCAGCAUCAAA